GCUGCCGACGUAAAAACGCCUCCCACAAAAUCUAGUGCCGAUCGGAAAACAGGCGAGACCACGAUCUCAGUUUCAAUCUCCGCUGGUCCUAAUUCGCGUCUGAGAAAACGUGUCUCACAAAACUGCGAAUAACUCAACCAAUUUUAAUCCAAAUCAAGUUCUGUAAACUGGAGCAUAACGAUAAACGACUUGGGAAUAACUCUACCAAAUUUCGUUACCUUUGACCAUGAUUUGAUAUGACGAAACUGAUUUCUUCCAAACCCUAACGAUUCUGCUCCUUCUCCUUUUCUCUUUUUUUCUCUUUUAUAAAACGAAAAGUGGUUAACGAUUCUGCCCUAAUUUCGAGUUUCCUUCUUUUAUAGGCACACUUUAGGGUUUCCAAUUAACCCAACCAAUUAAACCAGAUGAUUUAAAAACAAACCCUAACCGAUUUUCCGGUUCACGGGCGUUACAAUAGUUUAGUUUGAAUGAAGCUUUGUUUUAGAGAUUUUAACUAUGAAGAUUUAAAUGU
Molecule: small RNA, 511 nt
Filed under: Arabidopsis thaliana (thale cress)
Lineage: Eukaryota; Viridiplantae; Streptophyta; Magnoliopsida; Brassicales; Brassicaceae
Description: ATSL156210
Source: RNAcentral